AAACGCUUGAAGUCAGUCGUAUCUGCCAGGACUCAGCCUUGCUUCUGCUUGGUGCACUUUCUGGUCAGAUGGGCCAACAUCGAUUUUGACCGUUGGAAAAAGGCUUGGGGAAUGUGGCACUUUCGGGUGUGUUAUAGCCCGUUGCAUAAUACCCUGCGGUGGACUGAGGACCGCGCAU
This 178-nucleotide ribosomal RNA is filed under the name Thelephoraceae sp. Its description in RNAcentral is "partial large subunit ribosomal RNA". Lineage: Eukaryota; Fungi; Basidiomycota; Agaricomycetes; Thelephorales; Thelephoraceae. The record is from RNAcentral.